UUAGGCAAAUUUAUCUUAUUUUGAACGACUUCCUCCUGCGUUUCCCUCGCUCUUCAAAAACCUUAAAAACCAAAAGUAUCAUCAGGUAUAACAAACCCAAAACCAUUGUAUAUAACCAACACAAACCACUGACUUUUCUCUUCUCCCAUCUUCAUCUCUCUAAAAAAAAGAAAAAAUCACAACACCACCAUCACUAUCUUACCUCUAUUGCAUCUACCAAUGACUUCGUCGCGGUCGAUAGAGUUCAUGACUCCUUUAGAGGAAGAACACCUAAUAUUUUCUACCAUUUAUGGAAAUUUUCUACUAAAUUGAUUUUCCGUAAUGCAUUUCCCAAUCUAAGUGCUCUUCCCUUACCACCGACUUCCCUCCCUCUUUGAUAAUCUCUAAGAAAUACUUUAAUUGUGUAUAUGUGUGUUUACAUGUAUUAGAGCGAGAAACUAUUGAAAUAGUGGAGUACCCUCAAGAUAAAGUCGGAUGAAAAUCCACAGCUAAAGUUCUAUUUUUCUAUGAUCUUUUAUUUUCGUCAAUUUUCUUUACAUUUUACAUUUUGUUUUUGUAUCUAUAAGGUAGAUCAUAGUAUCAGAGCAAUAAGAUGUGUCAUACCAAGAACAUUGAUGCUGGAUAGCUAUGUUGGUAUUCUUUGAUCUUGAUCCAGCAAAUGAUGGUUGGAAGAACAAACACCUAACAAGAAGGGUUUGUUGAAGAAAGGAAGAUGAAGAAAUGAAUAAGAUAGGGGAAAAAGGUCAUGUACGGUGGUUUAAUAAACAUACUAUAUGACUAUGGAUUGAUAAACACGGGUUUAUAUUUUCUUUUCCAUUAAUUACAAUCAAUUAAAGUUUACCCAUCAUCACACAUUUUGACCAUACCGUGUCUCUCACUUAUAUCCUCAUUGCUUUUUUUUAUUUGAUCAUAUUUAAUUUGUGCAUAUUGUGUUUUUUAAGAUUUAUUUGGCUCUUAGUUAUUUUUACAGAUGUAUGAAAUAACAGAGGCAAAUGAAAUACAUUUACAAACCUUGAUUUACAAUGUAAAUUGAUCUUUUUCUCUUUACCAUUUAAGUGUUUGGUUUUUAUUUCAUUCCAGAUUCAAGAUCACCUCUCCUGAGUCCUUGGGAGCAUCAACUGUUCGUGUCAAGUUUGUGGCAUGAAGAGAAUCUAUGUGAAGGUGGUGAGGUUUGAUUGCAUUAACAAUCGUGCUAGGAAACAAGAGAACUUCAGUUGGAUCUUCAUCAUGUUGUCGGUGGAUUCAUUGACUGAUUUCUACAGUUAUCUAUUCAAUACCAACUAUUCAAUACGACAAUUCCAAGGAGUCGAGGAGUUAGACUGUUAGACGUUCUACUUCAACUUCCCAAUUCAAUUCCUAAUCCAAAUGGCUGAUUGCAGUCGACUCCUAAUAUAAUCGACUUUAUAAUCUUUUGAAAUCGACUAUGAAAUUGAUAUUCAACAAUCAAGACUCAAGAACAAGAAGAAAUGGGUUUAAGUCAAGAUUCAAGAAGAAGAAGAAGAAAAGGCUGCAAUCGAAUGAUCAACAUUCCACAAUCAUAAUACAUUGUUAUUUGGGUAAAUGACACAAAAAACACUCUUUUUAUACAGAAAUUCGAUUUUGAUACUGUGUUUUUUUUUGUGUCAAUUUUGACACUGUGUUUUCCAAUUUGUUACAAUUCUGACCACUUGACCGGUUAACCAGGUUGCAUGCUGACGUGGCAUGAUGACGUGUCAGUUUUGAUGACGUAGCAUGCUGACAUGAUAUGCUGACGUGUCAAAAUUGAAUUUUUUUCUCACAAAAAACACUAAGUUUUCAUUUUUUUUUUCGAUUUUGACACUACGUUUAAUUUUUUCUUUCAACUUUGACACUAUGUUUUUUUUGUUCCAAAUCGAAUAUCAUUUUUUCCAAUUUUGUUCAAUGUUGACAAUUUUCUAUUUGAAACCGUAUAAAUAUUUUUUUAAUACAUUUAAACCGUAUAAAUAUGUUUUUUUUUUCAUUUAAAAACCAUAGUUUUGUAUAAAUACAUUUUUUUUUACACUCAAACCAUAUUUUUAUGUAUAAAUAUGUAUUAGCUAUAUAAAAAUUAUAUUUUAUAUUAAUAUGCAACUUUAAAAUAUGUUUGAAGGUUUAUAGGCGUGUAGUUAUCAAAAUUUGGAUAUCAAGUUUGCAACCCAUCAAAUUUUUAUAUCUUAUUAGAAGCUUAUGGUUAGUUUGAUUCUCAUGAUAUAACUAAUGCUUUAAAUGUAAGAAAAAAACACCUUGUAUUUAAAUAAAAAUGUGGUUUUUAAACGAAAAAAAUAUGUUUAUACGGUUUAAAAUGUAAUAAAAAAAAUAUAUUUAUACGGUUUCAAAUGGAAAAUAGACAAAAUUGAACAAAAAUUGAUAAAUGAUGUUCGAUUGGAACAAAAAAAACAUAGUGUCAAAAUUGAAAUAAAAAAUUAAACUUAGUGUCAAAAUCGAAAAAAAGUGAAAACUUAGUGUUUUUUGUGGAAAAAAAAAUCAAUUUUGACACGUCAGCAUAUCAUGUCAGUAUGCCACGUCAUCAAAACUGACACGUCAUCAUGCCACGUCAGCAUGUAACCUGGUUAACCGGUCAAGUGGUCAGAAUUGUAACGAAUUGGAAAACACGGUGUCAACAUUGACACAAAAAAUAACACAGUGUCAAAAUCGAAUUUCUGUGUAAAAAUAGUGUUUUUUAUGUCAUUUACCCUUGUUAUUUAUACAACUAGAAUUGAUGUUUGUUUUGGAGUGAAUGUUGUUUGGUUUUAGUGAUCAUGUUCUAUGUGCUUAAUGAAAAAAUAUAGCCUAAACU
Long non-coding RNA from Lactuca sativa (garden lettuce), 2794 nucleotides. RefSeq lists it as uncharacterized. The record is from RefSeq and is a predicted model, not a curated record. Lineage: Eukaryota; Viridiplantae; Streptophyta; Magnoliopsida; Asterales; Asteraceae.